GAUUGAGGGCAGUGGUGAUCCUUCAGACUCAGUCAUCAAGAAAAGGCAGAAAAUGGGGCGGUUCUUCUAUCUCAUAUCAUUAGGAACUUUUUUGAUCAUACAAAGUCAUUCUUCUGAAAACUGGCUUGAACUUAUACGUGGAAGCAUGCCUAUAUAUAAAUUCCGAAAGAUUAUUUUCAGAUUAUCACCUUUGAUCUCCCGCACUCCAAGCUUUUGCUUCUAUGGUAAGACAAUCCAUCACUUAGUUGCUCUGAGGAAAAGGGCAAGAUAGUUGUAUGCUUGCCAACUGUGCAAGGCCUUACUUUACAAGUUUGUCAAACCAGGAAUAAAUGAUGUAGAACGAGUGAACCAAUUAAUUAUUCCAUCUGUAUAUACAAUUUCACAUGCUUCGUAAAUAUGAAUUUUGUAAGUGAAAUUAUAUUGCCACUCUAUAUCAGUCUUUCACUUUCAGUGGUCAGGCACAUUUUUUAUGCAUCCUGCUCAUAUCAUGUCAUGCUAAUAUGCUGUGUUCAGCAGAUACACAUAUUUGUCCCUUGUUUCUGCCGUGCUGCAGGAAAUUUUAAAUCUUCAUUAUGCGUGAUCGCAAGUGAUGAUAUAUUUCUUAGAAAUUAAAAUGUUGCUGGGCCCUACAUGGCAACAUCCUAAUACUUACUUAUGCAUACAAUGGGAAGUGUAUUGCUUCUGGUCUGUGAUGUCUUUAAUUUUAGCUCCAGGUUAUGCAAAGCUUAUUUUGUAUGUACCUAAAAGUUGUGUUUUGUAAAUGUUGAAGAUUUAUAAUUUCUGGAAUGCGCCCUAUUUUACACUAGCUUAUUUGCAAAUAAUGGUUUUGUGAUCUUUGGUAUUAAUUAGAGAGAAUGCUAAAGUAUAUAGAAGAGUGGUAUCUGUAAUCAUGGGAUGUUGUGGUUUAAGCUUGCUUGAAUCUUGUUCCAGCCGAUGUGCAUAUCCAUUGCCUCUUGUUUUGUUGAUUGCUUUGCCGUCUUUCAGCACCUCAGUAAGGCUUUGAUUUUUUUGGGAGAAUAGAAUCGGUGAAUUGAGUCGUUGUGGCUAUUCGGUUCAUAUUGCCCUAUUUUAUUCAUUUGUUCAUUUUUUUGAUCAUACAAAGUCGUUCUUCUGAAAACUGGCUUGAACUUAUACGUGGAAGCAUGCCUAUAUAUAAAUUCCGAAAGAUUAUUUUCAGAUUAUCACCUUUGAUCUCCCGCACUCCAAGCUUUUGCUUCUAUGGUAAGACAAUCCAUCACUUAGUUGCUCUGAUGAAAAGGGCAAGAUAGUUGUAUGCUUGCCAACUGUGCAAGGCCUUACUUUACAAGUUUUUCAAACCAGGAAUAAAUGAUGUAGAACGAGUGAACCAAUUAAUUAUUCCAUCUGUAUAUACAAUUUCACAUGCUUCGUAAAUAUGAAUUUUGUAAGUGAAAUUAUAUUGCCACUCUAUAUCAGUCUUUCACUUUCAGUGGUCAGGCACAUUUUUUAUGCAUCCUGCUCAUAUCAUGUCAUGCUAAUAUGCUGUGUUCAGCAGAUACACUGUAAUAUUUGUCCCUUGUUUCUUCCGUGCUGCAGGAAAUUUUAAAUCUUCAUUAUGCGUGAUCGCAAGUGAUGAUAUAUUUCUUAGAAAUUAAAAUGUUGCUGGGCCCUACAUGGCAACAUCCUAAUACUUACUUAUGCAUACAAUGGGAAGUGUAUUGCUUCUGGUCUGUGAUGUCUUUAAUUUUAGCUCCAGGUUAUGCAAAGCUUAUUUUGUAUGUACCUAAAAGUUGUGUUUUGUAAAUGUUGAAGAUUUAUAAUUUCUGGAAUGCGCCCUAUUUUACACUAGCUUAUUUGCAAAUAAUGGUUUCGUGAUCUUUGGUAUUAAUUAGAGAGAAUGCUAAAGUAUAUAGAAGAGAGGUAUCUGUAAUCAUGGGAUGUUGUGGUUUAAGCUUGCUUGAAUCUUGUUCCAGCCGAUGUGCAUAUCCAUUGCCUCUUGUUUUGUUGAUUGCUUUGCCGUCUUUCAGCACCUCAGAAAGGCUUUGAUUUUUUUGGGAGAAUAGAAUCGGUGAAUUGAGUCGUUGUGGCUAUUCGGUUCAUAUUGCCCUAUUUGAUUCAUUUGUUCAUAUUUUUUAAAAUAAUUUUAUUUCGGACCAGCCAUUUGACUAAAAUAGAUUGUUACUUUUUUAGAUAUGAUGCCAUUGGCCAGCAUGCAGUUCCAGUACCUUAUGGUUGUGGAAAAGUUAUAUAGAGAUCUAUCCAGAUAUGAUGCCACUGCAACUGCUCAUGUGCAAAAUUUACUCUGUUUCACAUUGCACUAUCAUCAUUGUCACUCCAUGGGGUACCACAGGAUUAGUGCUUUUGGUGGUCCAAUUUGGCAAGAACACGAAGAAGGCCGAGUUGGUGAUGGCCCCUUAUGAGAGUGGCACUGGUAACGGGAAGCUUCUAUGACGUCGAAGAGGCUGCUGAGCAACCCACAGUUCCCCUAGGAUGAUUUAUCUUGCAGAUGGACUUCCGUUAUUAAGUGAGGAUGGUGUCGCUGCAGGAUGACACAUGAUUAGCAAAUUUCUAUGAAUAUUACCACAUAUGACGACGAGCCCGUGAAUCAAUGGAGGAGGAGGCCAUGGAAGAGAGAAAGGAUGCGUGAAGAUGUUGUGUUUACCGACGGAGCGCUAGCUGUGGGCGACGACCGGGCUAGGCAAGUUCAUCUCAUCCCUCUCCUCUGAGUCUCUCUCUCCUGCGCGGUAGUGCAGACUCAUGGCGUGUGGUAGUAUCUGGUGGCGCGUGCGGCAACACUCACCCAGAUCGACUCGAUUCUUUUACCUUCGUAGCAGCAGUAAACAAGGCAUGCUAUUUUUAUAGAUUAGCUACUUUUUUUCUUGGUAUAAAUUUUUGAAGUGUUAGGGAGUUGCAGAUUCUGUGAUCGCGCAUUUGAUUUUUUGAGAGUCCAACACUCUGGUUCCUAAUUAAUAAUUAAUGCGUUUUCUAAACAUGGUGUGUGCCGGAUAUCGAGGUAGUCUGGGUGAGGCCGGUUCAGCCCUGACCCAUGACCUCCUUCAUGCUCCAGACCAAGUGGGACAUGCUAAAUUUCAGAUGCUUUGUUCACCAUUAUCAGAGGUCAGAAGCAGGCAUGGAGAUCUGCACCAUAGUGCAAGGGGAGAGGGGGAUUUUUCAUUUUAUUGUCAGUUAUCUAGGGUACGUAUGCAACCAUGGGAAUAUACCUAAUGCCAAGGGAACUUUUGUGGUUGCUGGAUAUGUCUAUUUACAUUAAAAUUCAUGUUUGGUGGCCGAUAUUGACAUCAGGUCUGAGAAAUAGAGGUGGAUGGGGAGCACGCGCUUUAAAUUUAUAUGUGUAACCUUAUUUUGAACGUUUUGGAUGCACAUGAAUGAUGUUGUAUUUCAUCUUGUACGGAGAAUUGGCUUGCUCUUCUUUUGGAUGCUCCUCUGCAAGCUUCUGAUAAUACUUUUGAACGUUUUUCAUUAUUGUAGCCUGGUGAGUAGCGCGAGGGCUGGCACGGGGAGCCAUUGGGGUCGCGCGCCCUCUGCCUCCUCGGCACCGGCGCGCCUGCCGCUAAGUGCCGGCCAUGGCGCCGAUCGCCGGAGCACAUCGUCGUCUCGUUGAUCGCCUGGCCUACCUCCCCGUGUAAGUUCUUCCUUUCCACUUUUUUUAAUUAUAAUUUACUAUUUUGCACAGCUGUGGAGGUGGAUCUGCCCAGCCUUGGAGGUGAGCAGAGAACACCAUAGCCAUCUCUAACUAAUUUUGUGUUGUUCCAUCCUCAUUUGGGAGGACGAUCCUGAUGAACAUGCUGAAGAAACACGCAUGCUCUCCAUCAGGAGAACACUUAUAGGUGUCGACUUGCUCCAGCAUGGAAAUGAGGUGAUCGAUAGCUCUGCCUAUUAAUGGAAGAGCACACGGAGGUGGGCUUGCAAUAUUUGAUCAAAUUGUGUCUAGCUAUUUUCAAUUCUGGACCAAAGGCCCUUCUGAAAAUCCAGUGGUUGGGAAGCGUGAUCCAUUUUCAAAGAACUUCAUCAUUAAUUAAAGUAGGAAAUCCAGGUGAUACUACAUUCAUAAUUCUGCCAUUUAUGCUGGCAAGGUAUGUUUCUCCUUCAUGUGCCCAUUAUGUAUGAUGCAUUUUUCAUUUCAUUGAUUCUCUUGUGUGUACCCCAAUACUCAUCAUAGAUUUGAUCAUGUGGCAAUAACAAGAAGGGGUUAUUGAAAUACCUAUUGCAAAGGAUGGACCUGAAGCUUGGGUCUUCAGGCUUGUGUUAGCUCAAUUUGCACAACGGACAGUGGAUAGAGAGGUGGUACCAGAGGUGGCAGGUACCAGGGAGUAGUGGUCCUGUAGGUUUUUGCGGCGGAUAUGAGUGUGGCUUGAUAGCCAUUGUAAUCACUCUGUCUCUCUCUCUAAGCUACCACGCUACCAUGUUUUAGUUCUGUCCAAUGUACUUAACCCUACUUUGCUACCAUUGCCUUCUUGAUGAAUCUGAUGACCAAGCAAUGUAUAAGCUAUAUCAUAUAAGCUUCUUCGAUCAACCUCAUGUACAAUAAA
This is a non-coding RNA of Lolium perenne, 4508 nucleotides long. The record is from RefSeq and is a predicted model, not a curated record. NCBI's taxonomy places the organism in Eukaryota, Viridiplantae, Streptophyta, Magnoliopsida, Poales, Poaceae.